UGGGAAUUUUGGACAAUGGGGGCAACCCUGAUCCAGCAAUGCCGCGUGUGUGAAGAAGGCCUUCGGGUUGUAAAGCACUUUUGUCCGGAAAGAAAUCGCCCUGGCUAAUAUCCGGGGUGGAUGACGGUACUGGAAGAAUAAGCACCGGCUAACUACGUGCCAGCAGCCGCGGUAAUACGUAGGGUGCAAGCGUUAAUCGGAAUUACUGGGCGUAAAGCGUGCGCAGGCGGUUGUGCAAGACAGAUGUGAAAUCCCCGGGCUUAACCUGGGAAUGGCAUUUGUGACUGCACGGCUAGAGUGUGUCAGAGGGGGGUAGAAUUCCACGUNUAGCAGUGAAAUGCGUAGAUAUGUGGAGGAACACCGAUGGCGAAGGCAGCCCCCUGGGAUAACACUGACGCUCAUGCACGAAAGCGUGGGGAGCAAAC
RNAcentral lists this ribosomal RNA (425 nucleotides) under uncultured bacterium. RNAcentral's name for it is "partial 16S ribosomal RNA". It matches the Rfam family "Bacterial small subunit ribosomal RNA", at positions 356 to 773 of the family's 1533-position model. The record is from RNAcentral.